RNAcentral lists this long non-coding RNA (893 nucleotides) under Volvox carteri. RNAcentral describes it as "long non-coding RNA (VCAR_LNC003012)". Lineage: Eukaryota; Viridiplantae; Chlorophyta; Chlorophyceae; Chlamydomonadales; Volvocaceae. The record is from RNAcentral.
UGCCGCCGUUCAGGCCUGCCGCCAGUAAGCCCGCUGCGAGCGAGGAGAAGGUAACGGAUGCCACAAAGUUUAAUUUUGCUGAUGGGUGACGGUGGAUCCGAUCUGGGGAGGUUGAGUAACUUACGGUGAGGACAGUUUACAGCAGCCGCUUCACGCGGCAAGAGGGAAACAAAAAGCGAAAAGCGGGGAGGGGAAGGGGGAGAAAUUCUGAAGGAGCAAACAAAGGAUGCCGCCGCCGCCGCGGUGUUGGCCAAGUGGGUUACUGGUCCUGGUUGCUUUUCCCCCCAAUCCCCUCAAUGAGAUAGCUGUCCUUCCCUUUCUUCACCAUUGCACACAUACAUACAUGGUACAUACAUGGUACAGACGUGUACACAAACAAGUUCAGCACCGCGUCAACAGUUCCGUUCCCUCCCCCCCCCAGAGCUCCGAAUGGUGUAUCCGGCUGGUAGGUUAACGGGCUCCGACUUCCGACGGAUUCCGGCGCUUCCACUACCACAGGUAGUCAAACGAUAGGCGGGCUACUCAAGAAAUGCUGAGCGACGUCCUAUACAACGAUGCAAAUAGGGGAGCUCCCUCCUCGCGUCACGUCACGUUCCUAAUGCCGUUACAAAGUACCCCCCACGCCGCACCGCACCGCACCACACCACGCGAGACGGCGAGACGAGACGAGACGUGGCGUGGCGUGGCGUGGAGGUACUAUCAAGAGCCAAAACUAUUCGACAUAUUGCCUAAAGAAGCAAGGAGCCAGUAGCUAACAGUUUUGGAUACCGGCGCCUUUCCGUCACCCGCACCUGCAGCCGCGGCCGCCGCAGCCGCUCGGUCAUGCCGUACCAGGGGGUCGCUACCAUCGCCCACACCACCUGGAUGCACAGGGGCCGUGAGGUACGCCGCCG